AGCAUAUCAAUAAGCGGAGGAAAAAGAUACUAACCAAAGGAUCCCCUAGUAACUGCGAGUGAAGCGGGAAAAGCUCAAAUUUAAAAUCUGGCGGCUUUACCGUCCGAGUUGUAGUCUGGAGAAGUGCUUUCCGCGCUGGACCGUGUAUAAGUCUCUUGGAAUAGAGCGUCAUAGAGGGUGAGAAUCCCGUCUUUGACACGGACUACCAGUGCUUUGUGAUGCGCUCUCAAAGAGUCGAGUUGUUUGGGAAUGCAGCUCAAAAUGGGUGGUAAACUCCAUCUAAAGCUAAAUAUUGGCGAGAGACCGAUAGCGAACAAGUACCGUGAGGGAAAGAUGAAAAGCACUUUGGAAAGAGAGUUAAACAGUACGUGAAAUUGCUGAAAGGGAAACACUUGAAGUCAGUCGCGUUGUUCAGAACUCAGCCUUGCUUCCGCUUGGUGCACUUUCUGGAUGACGGGCCAGCAUCAAUUUUGACCGUUGGAAAAGGGUUGGGGGAAUGUGGCACCUUCGGGUGUGUUAUAGCCUUCAGUCGCAUACAACGGUUGGGAUUGAGGACCGCAGCGCGCCGCAAGGCAGGGGUUCGCCCACUUUCGCGCUUAGGAUGCUGGCAUAAUGGCUUUAAAUGACCCGUCUUGAAACACGGACCAAGGAGUCUAACAUGCCUGCGAGUGUUUGGGUGGAAAACCCGAGCGCGUAAUGAAAGUGAAAGUUGAGACCUCUGUCGUGGAGGGCAUCGACGCCCGGACCUGACGUUCUCUGACGGUUCCGCGGUAGAGCAUGUAUGUUGGGACCCGAAAGAUGGUGAACUAUGCCUGAAUAGGGUGAAGCCAGAGGAAACUCUGGUGGAGGCUCGUAGCGAUUCUGACGUGCAAAUCGAUCGUCAAAUUUGGGUAUAGGGGGCGAAAGACUAAUCGAACCAUCUAGUAGCUGGUUCCUGCGAG
RNAcentral lists this ribosomal RNA (941 nucleotides) under Cerioporus scutellatus. RNAcentral's name for it is "partial large subunit ribosomal RNA". It matches the Rfam family "Eukaryotic large subunit ribosomal RNA", at positions 37 to 964 of the family's 3401-position model. The record is from RNAcentral. Lineage: Eukaryota; Fungi; Basidiomycota; Agaricomycetes; Polyporales; Polyporaceae.